This 601-nucleotide non-coding RNA is filed under the name Linnemannia elongata AG-77. RNAcentral describes it as "Mortierella elongata AG-77 Eukaryotic large subunit ribosomal RNA". It matches the Rfam family "Eukaryotic large subunit ribosomal RNA", at positions 2788 to 3399 of the family's 3401-position model. The record is from Rfam by way of RNAcentral. Lineage: Eukaryota; Fungi; Mortierellomycota; Mortierellomycetes; Mortierellales; Mortierellaceae.
CAUAUGCUCUAGGGAGUGCUCGCACCAGGGAUGACCGGCUUGUGGCAGCCAAGCGUUCAUAGCGACGUUGCUUUUUGAUCCUUCGAUGUCGGCUCUUCCUAUCAUACUGAAGCAGAAUUCAGUAAGCGUUGGAAUGUUCACCAACUAAUAGGGAAAGUGAGCUGGGUUUAGACCGUCGUGAGACAGGUUAGUUUUAUCCUACUGAUGAAAUGUUGUUGCAAUAGUAAUUGAACUUAGUAUGAGAGGAACCGUUCAUUCGGAUAAUUGGUAUUUGGGCCUGCCUGAGCAGGCAAUGGCCGGAAGCUAUCAUCCAUUGGGUCAUGGCUGAACGCCUCUAAGUCAGAACCCGUGCUAGAACACGUCGAUUACCGCCUUGUGCCAUUUUUAGUUGAAUACGAAUAGACCUACAGUCCAGAAUCUUACGAAUGUGGGAUUAUCUUGCAGAGCGGAAAGGCUUUGUGAGGUUCCUGCUAAUGUUAAUUUCAAGUAUUGGAAGAGAUAAAUCCAUUACGGACGACUUUAAUUGAACGGGGUAUUGUAAGCAGUAGAGUAGCCUUGUUGCUACGAUCUGCUGAGAUUAAGCCCAUUGUUCUAUAGCCUU